This 497-nucleotide ribosomal RNA is filed under the name uncultured bacterium. RNAcentral's name for it is "partial 16S ribosomal RNA". It matches the Rfam family "Bacterial small subunit ribosomal RNA", at positions 28 to 507 of the family's 1533-position model. The record is from RNAcentral.
GAUGAACGCUGGCGGCGUGCCUAAUACAUGCAAGUCGAGCGAACAGACGAGGAGCUUGCUCCUCUGACGUUAGCGGCGGACGGGUGAGUAACACGUGGAUAACCUACCUAUAAGACUGGGAUAACUUCGGGAAACCGGAGCUAAUACCGGAUAAUAUAUUGAACCGCAUGGUUCAAUAGUGAAAGACGGUUUUGCUGUCACUUGUAGAUGGAUCCGCGCCGCAUUAGCUAGUUGGUAAGGUAACGGCUUACCAAGGCAACGAUGCGUAGCCGACCUGAGAGGGUGAUCGGCCACACUGGAACUGAGACACGGUCCAGACGCCUACGGGAGGCAGCAGUAGGGAAUCUUCCGCAAUGGGCGAAAGCCUGACGGAGCAACGCCGCGUGAGUGAUGAAGGUCUUCGGAUCGUAAAACUCUGUUAUUAGGGAAGAACAAAUGUGUAAGUAACUAUGCACGUCUUGACGGUACCUAAUCAGAAAGCCACGGCUAACUACGUG